This 1549-nucleotide long non-coding RNA is filed under the name Helianthus annuus (common sunflower). Its description in RNAcentral is "hypothetical non coding rna". The record is from RNAcentral. Lineage: Eukaryota; Viridiplantae; Streptophyta; Magnoliopsida; Asterales; Asteraceae.
CCCAUUAAGGAUGUCUGGUCGUACAGGAAAGGGCAGGGGCGACUCCCCACUCUUCAAAACCCUAGAACUUCACUAAUCUUGCAAAUUGAAGGUCCAAUUCAGUCCAAAAUCGAAAUUUAAGCAUGGAUUAUUGAUCCUCAUCACAAGAGGAUUAAAAGUUUGAUCUCGUCAAGCUAAGUGGGAGCUGGAAAGGAAUGGAUCAAACGGAUCAUGGAUGCGAAGAAUGUUUGCGCGGACGCGAGGUAAGUAGAGCUUACACUUUUGUUUUUUUAGGAUACGUAUUUACUUUAUAGAUUAUAAACACGACCAAGGUUAUAUCCGAAAUAUGGGUUCUGACACGAAAUGAUACGGGUCGACGAAUAAAAGGAUAAAAACCAUGUUUAAUGGCAAAAAGGGGCGAAACGGGUUAAAUAAUGAAAUGGUAAAUAAAUACCAUUCAAAUAUAAGUGCAAAAUGUUUGGUCGUUUAGACUAAACAGGUCAAAUGGUAAUGUUAACACCAUUUGACGAAUAACGACUAACAAGUGCAUGUCGAGUCUAAUGCUCACAGGGUAAAACGGCUUAUGGAAUUUACGUGGCUAUGAAUCAGCAAAUUAUUAAGGCAAGGUAUUAAAACGGGUCAAUACUUUGACCCGCGCCAGGUACGCGUAAAUUUGGUGAAAGAUAUGUGAAUACCUUAAUGUAGAAAAAUGACAUGUGAAAGUAGGGAGUAGGAUUUAAACUUAAAUGAUUAAAUCCUCUCUAACGGGUCAAAAUAAGAACUUGAACGUAAAUGGGUUCUAACUAAGUAAGAAACCCAUGAUUUAUGAUUUAUUUGAUAGGAAAUAUUGAAAUUAUGAUUUUCAUGAGUUUAUAGAGCAAGUAAACAUGUUUGUUUGAUAAAAUCGCGAACGGGUUAAAAUUUGGUAAAAAUGGUUAAAAUUUGGUAAAAAUGGUAAUAAGCCGAAGACUUAAAAGUCUUAAAUUUUGUUAAUUCCGAUGUUGGAUUUUGACUCCAUACUAUGAAGGGUCAAAUUACAAUCAUGUAGGAAGAAACGGUGGGUCAAACGGAUAAGCGGUUUGAAAGAUACGAAAGUUUUCGUGACAAUAAACGGCAAAAUAGGAAAGCUGGAAUGCAGGGGCCACCGUAACUUACGGUGACACCGUAAGUUACGGUGGAGUUGAAGGCUUUACGGCAGCCCCCUACUGAUUUACGGUAGGGGCAUGUCACACCAGGGGCCACCGUAACUUACGGUGCCACCGUAAGUUACGGUGGAGGCCAGUUGGGAAAUCCAUGUUUUGAGAUCAAGAGUUUAACCAUUACCGGAUUUGUUUAGAUUUAUUUCAAUCCCCGUAUGACUAAAGCAUUUCAUGUUUAUGAAAUGUAGGUUCAUUUUGGAUGCCGAUAGACGAUCAAGCUCAUCGAAGAACAGAACAUGAUAUAGUUACAUGCUUCCGCACUUUGCCACGUUGUAUAUUUUAAACAACGAAUUCGAUCACGUUUUGUAGAAUAACUUAUGAAUUGUAAAAGUUUUAAUUUACUCGAAAUUUUCUAAGGAUACUUAACCUUA